Molecule: ribosomal RNA, 253 nt
Filed under: uncultured bacterium
Lineage: Bacteria
Description: partial 16S ribosomal RNA
Rfam family: Bacterial small subunit ribosomal RNA
Source: RNAcentral
UACGGGGGGUGCAAGCGUUGUUCGGAAUUACUGGGCGUAAAGCGCACGUAGGCGGAUUCGUAAGUCAAUUGUGAAAGCCCUGGGCUUAACCUAGGAAUUGCAGUUGAAACUGCGGACCUUGAAUACUUGAGAGGAUGACGGAAUUCCUGGUGUAGAAGUGAAAUUCGUAGAUAUCAGGAGGAACACCCGAGGCGAAGGCGGUUAUCUGGCAAGCUAUUGACGCUGAGGUGCGAAAGCGUGGGGAGCAAACAGG